GAUGAACGCUAGCGGCAGGCCUAAUACAUGCAAGACGAACGGUAAGUUGAGUAGCAAUACUUAGCCAAGAGUGUCGUACGGGUGCGUAACACGUAUGCAACCUACCCUAUACAGGAGGAUAGCCUAGGGAAACCUGGAUUAACCCUUCAUAGUAUUAUUGGAUGGCAUCAUUUGAUAAUUAAAACUGAGGUGGUAUAGGAUGGGCAUGCGUCUGAUUAGUUAGUUGGCGGGGUAAUGGCCCACCAAGACGAUGAUCAGUAGGGGUUCUGAGAGGAAGAUCCCCCACACUGGCACUGAGAUACGGGCCAGACUCCUACGGGAGCAGCAGUAGGGAAUAUUGGUCAAUGGAUGCAAGUCUGAACCAGCCAUGCCGCGUGCAGGAAGAAGGCCUUCUGGGUUGUAAACUGCUUUUGCCAGGGGAUAAAAUUUCCAUGCGUGGAAAACUGAAGGUACCUGGUGAAAUAAGCCACGGCUAACUACGUGCCAGCAGCC
Molecule: ribosomal RNA, 492 nt
Filed under: uncultured bacterium
Lineage: Bacteria
Description: bacterial SSU rRNA
Rfam family: Bacterial small subunit ribosomal RNA
Source: RNAcentral